GGUGCACGGCGAUGCCGGCGAUCGCCUCGCGGCGCGCGUAGCGCGCCUGCGCGACGCGAAUCGUCGUGCCGCCGCGUUCGGUUACGUAGGUGCGCCAC
Molecule: transfer RNA, 98 nt
Filed under: Burkholderia stagnalis
Lineage: Bacteria; Pseudomonadati; Pseudomonadota; Betaproteobacteria; Burkholderiales; Burkholderiaceae
Description: tRNA-Tyr
Source: RNAcentral